GGUAUAUAAAAUCUAAGAGCCCAAUGACUAGUUGGAAGUAGUGCAAAGUGAGUUCUUUUUAUUAAGUUCCUUUUAGUGAGCUGUAAGCUAAUUAGUGCUUUGAAUUUCACAACACAUCUGGCCUGCAUUUUCUAAGAAAUAGGUUCGACAUUGUGUUGAAAAUAUGGUAGCAACCUCGAAUCCUGAUGAACCAUCUUUUUCUGAUCAAAAAAAAAAAACUACUUGGUGGAUUUAGUCAGGUACAUCGAAAAGGGCUACCUAUUGUCAAAGAUCAGUGGGCUUGUGAUGAGGAACCCGAGCAUAGGU
This 306-nucleotide long non-coding RNA is filed under the name Phoenix dactylifera (date palm). RNAcentral's name for it is "long non-coding RNA (PDAC_LNC011976)". The record is from RNAcentral. Lineage: Eukaryota; Viridiplantae; Streptophyta; Magnoliopsida; Arecales; Arecaceae.